This 330-nucleotide ribosomal RNA is filed under the name uncultured bacterium. RNAcentral describes it as "bacterial SSU rRNA". It matches the Rfam family "Bacterial small subunit ribosomal RNA", at positions 568 to 898 of the family's 1533-position model. The record is from RNAcentral.
CGCGUAGGUGGUAGUGCAAGUCUGGGGUGGAAUCCCAGGGCUUAACCCUGGAACUGCCUUGGAAACUGUAUUACUUGAGUCAGUGAGGGGAGGGUAGAAUUCCUGGUGUAGCGGUGAAAUGCGUAGAUAUCAGGAGGAAGGCCUGUGGCGAAGGCGGCCCUCUGGCGCUGAACUGACACUGAGGCGCGAAAGCGUGGGGAGCAAACAGGAUUAGAUACCCUGGUAGUCCACGCCCCAAACGGUGGGUACUAGGUGUAGGGCUCGUAAGGGUUCUGUGCCGAAGCGAAAGCAUUAAGUACCCCGCCUGGGGAGUACGGCCGCAAGGUUGAA